GUUUACGCUCAUCAUUUCACGCAAUGCAGACCCGACGGUAUCCGCAGUAGGUGUCUUCUCAGGCCAAUUAAACCAUUGAGCGUCUUCGUGGCGCAUGGCGACGAGUACAAAACGAGGCCGCAGUUGGGGAACGCCGUAGUCGUUUGCAUGCAGAAGCUGCCAGUCAGACCAGUAACCCAAGUCCCUGAGGUGGUCUUUCACAUG
Molecule: unclassified non-coding RNA, 204 nt
Filed under: plant metagenome
Description: partial contains 5.8S ribosomal RNA, internal transcribed spacer 2, and large subunit ribosomal RNA
Source: RNAcentral